CCCCGCCACCGCGACGACAUUUGCGGCGUCCUCCCCGCGCCCGCAGCCCCCGCCCCGUCCUCGUCAAUCCGCUCCGCCAGCAAAUAGAGGAAGUUGCGUCCCAAUCCCACAGUGCUUCCACCUCGACCGCCUAUUGGGCUCCCACGCCCAUUCCCACCACCUCACCUUGCUUCUAUUGCUGUGCUCCGCCACAGAGCCCUAAGUGGAGCUACGAAUCCCGUGAUCCCCGACGACGCUGCACAGUAGCUCAGUGGUGACGACGAGCACGUCCCCCUCAUGCUCUAGGUGGAGCUACAAACCCCGUGAGUCCAUGCCCGCACCCUCACCUCUGUCCUCCCGCGAUGUCCCCGCCACCCUCCGCCCUCACCUAACGCGAUGUCAAUGCCCCCGGCCAAGGAGCCUCCUUCCUCCCCCAUCCCACUCGCGUGAAUCAACAUGUGAGGUCGUCCUCGCCCCCCGGUCCAUUGUGGCAGACCAUGCUCAGCAUUGCCGCCAAGAACACGACUCUCCUCGAUGUACUGCUCUAUCUCGGGGACCUCGCCUAGCACUGCCCCCCGGCUCGCGUCGACGAGGUGUAGUCCUCCCUCACCCGCACCUUUCAGAUGAUCCAGAUUGAUCUCCAUGAAGCUCGUCAAAGCAUUGAACAACAUAUAUCCCCAGAGAAUAUCUUCUGCGCUGUCCUUGAAACUGUUGCUCAUGCCCAAGUUAGUCUAUGCAUUUGUUAGUCUGCUCAGGCCCAUGUUUAAACUGCUGCUCAGGCCCAUAUCUGCCCUUGUUAGUCUGUGCAUUUGUUAACUGUCAUUAUUUACUGGACAUGCUUUUUUAUCCCCUGAGACAUCUGGCAACAUAUGUUAAAACUGAUUCAUUUUUGUGUACUAAUACAAUCUGUUGUCAAUCAAAGGUGAAAUGGUAUAUUCUAG
Long non-coding RNA from Zea mays, 920 nucleotides. RefSeq lists it as uncharacterized. The transcript is spliced from 2 exons. Lineage: Eukaryota; Viridiplantae; Streptophyta; Magnoliopsida; Poales; Poaceae. The record is from RefSeq and is a predicted model, not a curated record.